RNAcentral lists this ribosomal RNA (440 nucleotides) under uncultured bacterium. RNAcentral's name for it is "partial 16S ribosomal RNA". It matches the Rfam family "Bacterial small subunit ribosomal RNA", at positions 338 to 795 of the family's 1533-position model. The record is from RNAcentral.
CCUACGGGUGGCAGCAGUAGGGAAUAUUGCUCAAUGGGCGUAACCCUGAAGCAGCAACGCAGCGUGGAGGAUGAAGGUUCUAUGAUUUUUAACUCCUUUUGUUACAGGAGUUUAUGACGGUACCUAACGAUUUAUCCCCGGCUAACUCCGUUCCAGCCGCCGCGGUAAUACGGAGGGUGCAAGCGUUACUCGGAAUCACUGGGCGUAAAGCGUGCGUAGGCGGGGUAAUAAGUCAGAUGUGAAAUCCUGUAGCUUAACUAAAGAACUGCAUUGGAAACUGUUACUCUGGAGUGUGGGCUAGGGAGGUGGAAUUCGUGGUGUAGGGGUAAAAUCCGUAGAGAUCAAGAGGAAUACUCAUUGCGAAGGCGACCUGCUGGAACAUUACUGACGCUGAUGCACGAAAGCGUGGGGAGCGAACAGGAUUAGAUACCCUAGUAGUC